UCUCUCAUUUUCUAUAAUCAGAGCUCUGCAAAAUAGCAAUUCACCGAAUAUCGAGUGAUUUCGAGUCGCAAAAAGAUACUUAAUAGGUUAUGUAGUUCGUGUGUGUGUGGUUUUGAUCCAUAUCUUGUGGUGUUUUGUGAAGAUUUGCAUCCUCUGGUAACUGGUUGUUCAAUACGGUCGUUAUGUUACAAGAGAUCAUCACCAUGUUUGCGAACAUCACGAUGUUGGAAAUAUGUGAAGAAUCCAGUUAGAAGAUUUAGGGUUGAAGAAUAUGAUACUAAUAAGGUUAGGUUUUUUGAUAAUAUAAGUGUGAAUUUUGGUGGAUUGAACGUGUCUUUGAACUUAUCAAACCAUUUCGUAGUUUUGAGGCUAUGUGGAAAAUUCGAAUCGAAGCCAGCAGAGCUCUUCUUGAUCUUGAAUUCAGCUGUAAAGGCAUUGAUGAUGCAUCGUCAUUGUUCCUAAGUUAUUUGAUGGAAGAGGUGUCUUUGCGAGUUGUAGAACUUCAUAUUUGGACUUCUUGUUGGAUUCUGGUUCAAGUUCAUAUGUUUCAAAUUGCUUGAUUUAUUCUAGGCUAGACGGCACAUAUCUAACUCCAAAAUCCAUAUAAUCAUAACUCUUCUUGUCCUGAGCAGGGAGCCAAAAGAAUGGUUACUGAGUGGCCGGACCUUGAUUUAGAAGCACGCCGAUUCACUGCUAGAAUUACUGGUGAGGAAAUAAAUGAUGCAAAGAGACUGUAACAACUUCAACUCAGGCAAAGAGUGAAGCAAGCUCUAUUGUAGAAGAAGAUAAAGAAUCCCAGUCAGAGUUGUAACAAAAUUUCAUGUGAUCAUCAAUACUUAUUUUUUGAGAUCACCAGAAAUUUAGCAAUAUUGGAAUGUCAGAUUAUUCCAUGGCCGUGUCUCCGCUGCUCUAUAAAUGUAAGAUUUAGGUUAGCUUCUCAUUUCUCACCUGCAAAGAUAAAAUUGCAAGUGGUCACCAUGUGAUAUACAGUAACCAAUACAAGUAAGAGAAGAGGUUAAAACAAACCCUCUCAGGAUAGUCAGAUUAGUCAAGUACGGAAGAAGUUUUGCAGCUAA
Molecule: long non-coding RNA, 1076 nt
Organism: Papaver somniferum (opium poppy)
Lineage: Eukaryota; Viridiplantae; Streptophyta; Magnoliopsida; Ranunculales; Papaveraceae
Exons: 2
Source: RefSeq, a predicted model, not a curated record